CAAAAAAAUAAAAACAAAUGGUGAAUGAUUCAUUGAUAAAAACAUAUUUAUUUACUUUCUGAAAAUUUAGAUUUAAAAAAAAUCAACUAAAAUUUAGGAAAUCCUGAACCCACGCCAGAUCCACUUCCAAUUUUGGACACCAUUUUCUGGAGGAAGGCAGAAAUUUUAGGAUUGGAUUGGUACUUGGCCAUAUUGGCGGGGUUGGCACUUAUAUCCUGAAAAGCGGCUGAUAUUUCUGCAUCCUAAAUGUUUUUGCAAGAAAAAAAUGUAAAAUUAAUCCGUUGCUCCAGAUUGCAUCUCGUUUAAUUGGACCCAAAAUUUUGGCCGCAUAAUAAAAAAAAGAACACAGAUAAUAAAGCAAAACAAAAUCCCUCUUUUCUGCUGACGUUAACAUUUCAAGAAAAAAGUUAUCGGUAUUUCUUCUCUUAAUUCAUUAAUCAGACAAAAUUGUCAUUCAAACCCUUAAGCGACGGAUCCCUUGCUAAUGUAAAAAAAGUGCAACUCCAAAAAAAAGCUAUUAACUUGAAAAGCCUCCAAAAUUUCAGGGUCAGCCAUGAGGGUCUUGAAGAAGUCACCCAUAUCAGCACCUGCAGCCCCAGGAUUACUUGUCGCACCCCCCAGGGCACCAGGAAAACCGGGAAUCGAGCUUCCCGGGUGGGUAGGAUUAUCCUUGACAAACAAAAACAUAGAACCAAUUAGCUUUUCCGCGAACGCGCAAACCGAGAGACGAAUCGGGGUUAAGUUGCAGAGCCUUAUCGCAGUCUUUGAUAGCGGAACGUGGACGGUUGAGUUUAUUGAAAAUCCUGGAGAAAAUAGGAAAAUGAUCUAUUAAAGAAUUAUUUGAGGGAAACCCAGGGCAAUGUGAUUGAUGGGAUAACAAUGUUGAUGCAGAUAUUUUUUUAACAUAUAAGCUAAAAGACUAUAAAUGUGAAGAUGUUAAAUGUUCCAUCUAAAGCUGU
Molecule: long non-coding RNA, 959 nt
Organism: Gordionus sp. m RMFG-2023
Lineage: Eukaryota; Metazoa; Nematomorpha; Gordioida; Chordodea; Parachordodidae
Exons: 4
Source: RefSeq, a predicted model, not a curated record